Molecule: ribosomal RNA, 28 nt
Filed under: Renova oscari
Lineage: Eukaryota; Metazoa; Chordata; Actinopteri; Cyprinodontiformes; Rivulidae
Description: partial 16S ribosomal RNA
Source: RNAcentral
UUCAAUACAUACCCUACUUACAUACAAU